RNAcentral lists this ribosomal RNA (252 nucleotides) under uncultured bacterium. RNAcentral describes it as "partial 16S ribosomal RNA". It matches the Rfam family "Bacterial small subunit ribosomal RNA", at positions 524 to 776 of the family's 1533-position model. The record is from RNAcentral.
UACGUAGGUCCCGAGCGUUGUCCGGAUUUAUUGGGCGUAAAGCGAGCGCAGGUGGUUUAUUAAGUCUGGUGUAAAAGGCAGUGGCUCAACCAUUGUAUGCAUUGGAAACUGGUAGACUUGAGUGCAGGAGAGGAGAGUGGAAUUCCAUGUGUAGAGGUGAAAUGCGUAGAUAUAUGGAGGAACACCGGUGGCGAAAGCGGCUCUCUGGCCUGUAACUGACACUGAGGCUCGAAAGCGUGGGGAGCAAACAGG